UACGUAGGGAGCAAGCGUUGUCCGGAAUCAUUGGGCGUAAAGCGCGCGUAGGCGGCCCUGUAAGUCCGUUGUGAAAGUCAAAGGCUCAACCUUUGAAAGCCGAUGGAUACUGCAGGGCUAGAGUCCGGAAGAGGCGAGUGGAAUUCCUGGUGUAGCGGUGGAAUGCGCAGAUAUCAGGAGGAACACCAAUAGCGAAGGCAGCUCGCUGGGACGGUACUGACGCUGAGGCGCGAAAGCUAGGGUAGCAAACGGG
RNAcentral lists this ribosomal RNA (253 nucleotides) under uncultured bacterium. RNAcentral describes it as "partial 16S ribosomal RNA". It matches the Rfam family "Bacterial small subunit ribosomal RNA", at positions 524 to 776 of the family's 1533-position model. The record is from RNAcentral.